RNAcentral lists this ribosomal RNA (497 nucleotides) under uncultured bacterium. RNAcentral's name for it is "partial 16S ribosomal RNA". It matches the Rfam family "Bacterial small subunit ribosomal RNA", at positions 28 to 507 of the family's 1533-position model. The record is from RNAcentral.
GAUGAACGCUGGCGGCGUGCCUAAUACAUGCAAGUCGAGCGAACGGACGAGAAGCUUGCUUCUCUAAUGUUAGCGGCGGGCGGGUGAGUAACACGUGGAUAACCUACCUAUAAGACUGGGAUAACUUCGGGAAACCGUAGCUAAUACCGGAUAAUAUUUUGAACCGCAUGGUUCAAAAGUGAAAGACGGUCUUGCUGUCACUUAUAGAUGGAUCCGCGCUGCAUUAGCUAGUUGGUAAGGUAACGGCUUACCAAGGCAACGAUGCAUAGCCGACCUGAGAGGGUGAUCGGCCACACUGGAACUGAGACACGGUCCAGACUCCUACGGGAGGCAGCAGUAGGGAAUCUUCCGCAAUGGGCGAAAGCCUGACGGAGCAACGCCGCGUGAGUGAUGAAGGUCUUCGGAUCGUAAAACUCUGUUAUUAGGGAAGAACAUAUGUGUAAGUAACUGUGCACAUCUUGACGGUACCUAAUCAGAAAGCCACGGCUAACUACGUG